CAGCCGCCGCGGGAAUACGAAGGGGGCUAGCGUUGCUCGGAAUGACUGGGCGUAAAGGGCGCGUAGGCGGCGGCCAAAGUCAGGCGUGAAAUUCCCGGGCUCAACCUGGGGGCUGCGUUUGAUACUUGGUUGCUUGAGUGGGGAAGAGGGUCGUGGAAUUCCCAGUGUAGAGGUGAAAUUCGUAGAUAUUGGGAAGAACACCGGUGGCGAAGGCGGCGACCUGGUCCUUUACUGACGCUGAGGCGCGAAAGCGUGGGGAGCAAACAGGAUUAGAUACCCCCGUAGUCCCUGUCUCUUAUAC
RNAcentral lists this ribosomal RNA (301 nucleotides) under uncultured bacterium. RNAcentral describes it as "partial 16S ribosomal RNA". It matches the Rfam family "Bacterial small subunit ribosomal RNA", at positions 509 to 807 of the family's 1533-position model. The record is from RNAcentral.